GCUUAGUGAGGUCCCAAGGAAGCUCGGAGUGCUUCGUUGGAAGUUUUUGGACGUAAGAACACGGAGAUCGACAAGUUCAAAGUUUGGCCGGAGCUUUAGAGGCUUUUUUCCGGCGAAUCCCCGGCGAGUUAGGAGUCGAGGUAGGUAUCAAUCUCUUCGUCUCGUCAAGUACUACAACUUUCCUUUUUGUUUCACUCAAUUUCGUUGAGUAUUGAAGAAGUUAUACUCAUUUGAAAAAUACCCAGUUUCCGGCGACCUCCGAGGCUUUCGAGGCAGUUUCCGGCCAAACCACGGCGAACUAGGUGUUGUGCAAGGUACCAUUCUCUUUGUCUCUUCAAGGGCUACAACUUUCGUUUUUGAAUCACUUGAUUUCGUUGAGAAAUGACAAAAAGUUAUGGCAAUUUGAAAAACUGCCGGAAAACGGCCGCCGGAAAAACCAGUCCGGCGACCCAAGGAAGAAGAAGGUGCUACAGUAAAAAAUAAAAAAUAAAAAUAAAAUUAUUUUAAAAAUAUGUCGACGUCCGUGACGUCGAGUAGAUCACUGUGGUAUAUUCAUAUACCUAAAUUGAACACCGUAUGAGAAAGUUAUUGAGGAUUGUUGGUUAGGUGUUCGAAUAACGUUUUAUAGUUUUCACAUUAGGUGAAAAUGUGAAUUGAUGAUCCGACCGUUGGAUCAUCACCAAACUUUGAUACGUUGUAAUACGUAAUAUUUGAAGAUUAUUGGAACUUACGGAUUGGGAAUCCGAGUUACGGAUCUUCCGGAAUUGGAAUUGUAAGUCCAUAAUAUAAAAUGUUAACCGUCACUUAGUUUUGGAAAUUGACGGAGAUCCGACCGUUGGAUGGUAAUGAAAUUUUAGGAUGUUGUCCUAGAGGUAUAUUGUAGACCUCUGGAAGUUAUGGAUUUAAAAUCUGAGUGGCAGAUCUUCCGGAUCGAUCAACGUAGUGACGUAUUUUAUAUAAGUUAUGUAUUCUAUCGAUGUGAAUUCUGAGGUUGGAUUUGAUUACUGUUCUAGGCGGCGAUCGUCAUGACGCCUUGGCGUAUUGUGCUAGGGAGUUGUAGGGCGAACUCCAGGUGAGUGGGCAGUUUUGUUUUCCGUAUAUAUAUAUACUUGACGUUUCCCAGAAAUUGAAUUGAAAUGAAAAUAUGUUUAAAAUGAAAUGCAUAUGAGUUAUGUGGAAAAACGGGAAGUGAAAUACCAUGCAUAGAAUUGAUAUGAAAAGUAUAUAGAAAUGUGAGUUGAAAUGCCAUGCAUGAAUUGAUAUAUGAUGCAUAUGUAUGAAUUGGUGCGGUGGACGCACAUGUAAGAAUUAAUAUAUGAUGCAUAUGUAUGAAUUGGUGCGGUGGACGCACAUGUAAGAAUUGAUUUAUGAUGCAUAUGUAUGAAAUGGUGCGGUGGACGCACAGGUGAGUAUCAGGUGAUUAUUUAAAUACUGUUAUGAUGAUGUUGAUAUAUAUUGAGCUCAAAUCCUGCACCAUGGUUUAGUGCUUAUAGUAUUCACCGCAUCGCACGCUCGCCUUGGAUCCAAGUAGAUGCUAGUCGUACAGUCCACGCGGAGUGGGUACGACAGACCAGUCGCGAGAGUGUUAGUGAGAUUCCGACUGGUGGGUGACCUUAGAUUAUGUGCACAGAUGAUUUAUGAGAAGCACUAGAGCGUAACUUGUGUGCAGAAGGCCGGACGGGUCACAGAGGUGACUCCGGUAGAGUGAUAAUGAUAGAUUUUGAGCUCUAGGUUCAACCGUACAGGGCUAUUAGAGGGCCUACGGUUGAUUACUUUCUUGCACCUGAUAUGAUUAUGUUGAUGCAUUCAUACCUUAUUACUGUUGAGAUGAUGUGGCAUGGCAUAAUUAAUAUGAGAAAUGUUGAGAUGACAUGGCAUGGCAUGAUUGAUAAAAAGAGAUAAUGUUGAGAUAGUAAAAAUGAAGUUUUGAGAAUAUAUAUGUAUAUUUAUAUUUUACAUUUCUGGGAAAGUAUACAGGUUUUACGGAGAGGGGUUACAACGUUUUGAGAAAUGUUUGGAUUUGGAAAAGAAUUGUUUUACUGACCCACUCAAUUUUGGUUUUGCGCCCCUCCAGGUUCAGGAAUCACAAAGGUGUGGUGACUACGAGGAAUUCGACGGUGUUCUGACAGAUUGGACAAAAUUAGGACUCACCUUCGGGUGUAUCAACUUAUAAAUUG
This 2177-nucleotide long non-coding RNA is filed under the name Malus domestica (apple). Its description in RNAcentral is "long non-coding RNA (MDOM_LNC018200)". The record is from RNAcentral. Lineage: Eukaryota; Viridiplantae; Streptophyta; Magnoliopsida; Rosales; Rosaceae.